GUGCCAGCCGCCGCGGUAAUACAGAGGUCCCAAGCGUUGUUCGGAUUCACUGGGCGUAAAGGGUGCGUAGGCGGUGAGGCAAGUCUGAUGUGAAAGCUCCGGGCUCAACCCGGAAAUGGCAUUGGAAACUGCCUUGCUCGAGGGUCGGAGGGGAGACUGGAAUACUUGGUGUAGCAGUGAAAUGCGUAGAUAUCAAGUGGAACACCAGUGGCGAAGGCGAGUCUCUGGACGACACCUGACGCUGAGGCACGAAAGCCAGGGGAGCAAACGGGAUUAGAAACCCUCGUAGUCC
RNAcentral lists this ribosomal RNA (292 nucleotides) under uncultured bacterium. RNAcentral's name for it is "partial 16S ribosomal RNA". It matches the Rfam family "Bacterial small subunit ribosomal RNA", at positions 505 to 796 of the family's 1533-position model. The record is from RNAcentral.